RNAcentral lists this ribosomal RNA (424 nucleotides) under uncultured prokaryote. Its description in RNAcentral is "bacterial SSU rRNA". It matches the Rfam family "Bacterial small subunit ribosomal RNA", at positions 355 to 796 of the family's 1533-position model. The record is from RNAcentral.
UGGGGAAUAUUGGACAAUGGGCGCAAGCCUGAUCCAGCCAUGCCGCGUGAGUGAUGAAGGCCUUAGGGUUGUAAAACUCUUUCACCGGUGAAGAUAAUGACGGUAGCCGGAGAAGAAGCCCCGGCUAACUCCGUGCCAGCAGCCGCGGUAAUACGGAGGGGGCUAGCGUUGUUCGGAAUUACUGGGCGUAAAGCGCACGUAGGCGGAUUGGUCAGUUGGGGGUGAAAUCCCAAGGCUUAACCUUGGAACUGCCUCCAAAACUGCCAGUCUUGAGUCUGGGAGAGGUGAGUGGAAUUCCUAGUGUAGAGGUGAAAUUCGUAGAUAUUAGGAAGAACACCAGUGGCGAAGGCGGCUCACUGGCCCGGUACUGACGCUGAGGUGCGAAAGCGUGGGGAGCGAACAGGAUUAGAUACCCCCGUAGUCC